Molecule: long non-coding RNA, 224 nt
Organism: Choloepus didactylus (southern two-toed sloth)
Lineage: Eukaryota; Metazoa; Chordata; Mammalia; Pilosa; Megalonychidae
Exons: 3
Source: RefSeq, a predicted model, not a curated record
CUGAGCCAACACGUGAAGGAUAGCUACUCGGAAAUUUGCCUGGACCCAUACUGGAUUUUAUGUGAGUUGAAUUAGUAAUUGUGGUCCUUGGCAUUUGAAUUCAGGAAGCUGAUGGAUCAGAAAGAGGAUAAACAACGGAGAGAGGUAUUUCCAAGAUAAACACCUUUCUUACUGCAAGCAUCGUAUCUUCCUUCCUUCCAAACUUGAUUUAGUGCAUAUCUUUC